RNAcentral lists this unclassified non-coding RNA (307 nucleotides) under Hevea brasiliensis (rubber tree). The record is from RNAcentral. Lineage: Eukaryota; Viridiplantae; Streptophyta; Magnoliopsida; Malpighiales; Euphorbiaceae.
AGGCCGAACCAAAGAAUUAUUUUGCUAUAAGUUGAAGGCCGAGGCAAAGCAUAAUUCUUUAUUUCUCAUCUGGUGAGUCAAAUGAUGCCAUCCUACUUCGAUUGAACAAGCAAUAUAAAAAUAGUGUCUGGGUCAACUUUCGCGCCCUUCGACUUAUUCCACGGGAUACUUCCCACCUCCUACCAGCAACAUGUACCAGGUAACUAUGUCCACCAAGGCGAUGGGAAGAAUCUUUUGUCUUGGGAUUUGAACAUGAGACCUCAUGGAUCAACAGUAUGCAUCCUAGCUUAUCCAAGAAUUUUAACAA